UCAGCCACAUUGGGACUGAGACACGGCCCAGACAUCUACGGAUGGCAGCGUUAAGAAUAUUGGACAAUGGGGGCAACCCUGAUCCAGGUAUACCGCGGUGUGAAGAAGGCCCUAGGGUUGUAAAGCACUUUAAUCAGAGAAGAAGCAUUUUAAGUUAAUACCUUAAUAUGUUGACGUUACCUGAAGAAUAA
This 191-nucleotide ribosomal RNA is filed under the name unidentified proteobacterium. Its description in RNAcentral is "partial 16S ribosomal RNA". It matches the Rfam family "Bacterial small subunit ribosomal RNA", at positions 304 to 489 of the family's 1533-position model. The record is from RNAcentral. Lineage: Bacteria; Pseudomonadati; Pseudomonadota.